UGGGGAAUAUUGCACAAUGGGGGAAACCCUGAUGCAGCGACGCCGCGUGAGCGAAGAAGGUUUUCGAAUCGUAAAGCUCUGUCCUAUGGGAAGAUAAUGACGGUACCAUAGGAGGAAGCCCCGGCUAACUACGUGCCAGCAGCCGCGGUAAUACGUAGGGGGCAAGCGUUGUCCGGAAUCACUGGAAGUGAAGGGUUCGCAGGCGGAAAUGCAAGUCAGUUGUGAAAGGCAGAGGCUCAACCUCUGUAAGCAAUUGAAACUGUAUUUCUUGAGAUGUGGAGAGGCAAGUGGAAUUCCUAGUGUAGCGGUGAAAUGCGUAGAUAAUAUGAAGAAUACCGGAGGCGAAGGCGACUUGCUGGACACAAACUAACGCUGAGGAACGAAAGCGUGGGUAGCAAACAGG
Molecule: ribosomal RNA, 403 nt
Filed under: Fusobacteriota bacterium
Lineage: Bacteria; Fusobacteriati; Fusobacteriota
Description: Fusobacteria bacterium partial 16S ribosomal RNA
Rfam family: Bacterial small subunit ribosomal RNA
Source: RNAcentral